UACGUAGGGCGCAAGCGUUGUCCGGAAUCAUUGGGCGUAAAGCGCGCGUAGGUGGCUUCGUAAGUCCGUUGUGAAAGUCAAGGGCUCAACCUUUGAAUGCCGAUGGAUACUGCGAAGCUAGAGUACGGAAGAGGCGAGUGGAAUUCCUGGUGUAGCGGUGAAAUGCGCAGAUAUCAGGAGGAACACCGGUGGCGAAGGCGGGUCUCUGGGCCGAUACUGACGCUGAGGAGCGAAAGCGUGGGGAGCGAACAGG
This 253-nucleotide ribosomal RNA is filed under the name uncultured bacterium. Its description in RNAcentral is "partial 16S ribosomal RNA". It matches the Rfam family "Bacterial small subunit ribosomal RNA", at positions 524 to 776 of the family's 1533-position model. The record is from RNAcentral.